This 850-nucleotide ribosomal RNA is filed under the name uncultured bacterium. Its description in RNAcentral is "bacterial SSU rRNA". It matches the Rfam family "Bacterial small subunit ribosomal RNA", at positions 21 to 906 of the family's 1533-position model. The record is from RNAcentral.
GGCUCAGAAUCAACGCGGGCGGCGCGCUUAACACAUGCAAGUCGAACGAGAAAGCCCGCAAGGGUGAGUAAAGUGGCGUACGGGUGAGUAACACGUGGGUAAUCUACCUCUGGGUGGGGAAUAACCCUGGGAAACCGGGGCUAAUACCGCAUAAGCCUGGAAAGGGAAAGGCGAAAGUCGCCGAGAGAGGAGCCCGCGGCCGAUUAGCUAGUUGGUAGGGUAAAGGCCUACCAAGGCGAUGAUCGGUAGCCGGCCUGAGAGGGCACACGGCCACACUGGCACUGAAACACGGGCCAGACUCCUACGGGAGGCAGCAGUGGGGAAUCUUGCACAAUGGGGGCAACCCUGAUGCAGCGACGCCGCGUGAGCGAUGAAGCCCUUCGGGGUGUAAAGCUCUUUCGGCUGGAACGAUGAUGACGGUACCAGCAGAAGAAGCUGCGGCUAACUACGUGCCAGCAGCCGCGGUAAUACGUAGGCAGCGAGCGUUGUUCGGAGUUACUGGGCGUAAAGAGUGCGUAGGCGGUGACCUAAGUCUGGUGUGAAAUCUCCCGGCUCAACUGGGAGGGUGCGCCGGAAACUGGGUUGCUUGAGUGUGGGAGAGGCUAGCGGAAUUCCUGGUGUAGCGGUGAAAUGCGUAGAGAUCAGGAGGAACACCUGCGGUGUAGACGGCUGGCUGGACCACGACUGACGCUGAGGCACGAAAGCGUGGGGAGCAAACAGGAUUAGAUACCCUGGUAGUCCACGCCCUAAACGAUGCAUACUUGGUGUGGGUGAUUCAUUUCAUCCGUGCCGGAGCUAACGCGUUAAGUAUGCCGCCUGGGGAGUACGGUCGCAAGGCUGAAACUCAAAG